UGGUGUUGAUGAGGUGGUCCCGGGGA
RNAcentral lists this non-coding RNA (26 nucleotides) under Rattus norvegicus (Norway rat). The record is from RNAcentral. Lineage: Eukaryota; Metazoa; Chordata; Mammalia; Rodentia; Muridae.